Molecule: ribosomal RNA, 500 nt
Filed under: uncultured bacterium
Lineage: Bacteria
Description: partial 16S ribosomal RNA
Rfam family: Bacterial small subunit ribosomal RNA
Source: RNAcentral
AUUGAACGCUGGCGGAAUGCUUUACACAUGCAAGUCGAACGGCAGCACGGGGGCAGCCCUGGUGGCGAGUGGCGAACGGGUGAGUAAUACAUCGGAACGUGCCCAGUCGUGGGGGAUAACGUAGCGAAAGUUACGCUAAUACCGCAUACGAUCUACGGAUGAAAGCGGGGGACCGUAAGGCCUCGCGCGAUUGGAGCGGCCGAGGUCAGAUUGGGUAGUUGUUGAGGUAAAGGCUCACCAAGCCGACGAUCUGUAGCUGGUCUGAGAGGACGACCAACCACACUGGGACUGAGGCACGGCCCAGACUCCUGCGGGAGGCAGCAGUGGGGAAUUUGGGACAAUGGGCGCGAGCCGGAUACAGCCAUUCCGCGUGCAGGACGAAGGCGUUCGGGUUGUAAACUGCUUUUGUACGGAACGAAAAGGCGCUGGUUAAUACCUGGGGCUCAUGACGGUACCGUAAGAAUAAGCACCGGCUAACUACGUGCCAGCCGCCGCGGUAA